This 2802-nucleotide ribosomal RNA is filed under the name Triticum aestivum (bread wheat). RNAcentral's name for it is "partial small subunit ribosomal RNA". The record is from RNAcentral. Lineage: Eukaryota; Viridiplantae; Streptophyta; Magnoliopsida; Poales; Poaceae.
AUGACGAACGUCGCCGAGCACCGUGUACAGAUGCCGGCGGAUCCCCCCGCGGGCAAGGCCGCCGCCGCGGCGCCGGAGAUGGGGCUGAACCGCUUCGUUGUGCUGAUCGAGAGGCUCGGCAAUGCCUUGGGCACGCUGGCCUUCACGUGGGCGACCGUCGUCCUGCUCGGCGGCUAUCCCAGCGACCUCCUUCGCACGGAUAUCUGGGUCUCGACGGCCACGGUUUUUCUAGAAGCCUUGAGGAUGAUUGGUCACAGUAACAGGCUGGAUUACCAAUUUUUCUUCCGCACGAGAGGUGCUUUCAGGUCUCUUGGCUGGAACGGGGUGAUCUUGCUCAUAUAUCUCUUCAAUGUUCUGUUUAGCAUUGAUGAUGUAUGGGCCAAAUAUGAAGCAAUACACAUACUGACUUUGUCAGUGGCAGUACUUGUGAUUGGCGCAAUUCUAUGUCCAGAAGCUGCAAUCCCACCAAUGUGCGACCCAUUACGCCCCACGAUAUCAUUAUGGGGCCCAAUGGUUGCAAUCCUACUGCUUUCUCCCUCUCUAUUACUCAUCUCCAUUGCCAAGUGCACAGUAUACUUGGUACUAUUUGUGGUAGUGCUCCUACUCACAAUCAGCAGGCUGCGGUUCCCAGGUACCAUCAAGCUAGCAGACUGGGCUCUUGGCAGCAAAAUAGCAUUUUGGCAUCGAGUUAUUCCAAACUCGUGCAUACUUGCGGAGGCAGUUAUGUUGAUGUUCUCCAAUAAUGUUUACACAAAAGUUGGGAUUAUUGUAUCCAACGUAUUUGCUCUAAUUACAAUAUCAUUUGGUAACCUCCAGAUUCCAGCAGCAGUGUUGCGCAUUGGGCUGGCAGUGUGGCGUCUUAUAGAUAUACCACAAGACUACUAUGGUGACAAUGAACAAGGUGACAAGACAAACCUUGUUUCAUCUCUCUUAAUAUUUUAUGUGAUGGUGCUUGGUCAAGGAAUACUCUAUAUUGUUGCUGGCAUCUUGGAUAUAUUCUCAUUCAUCCUACGAAGAUCCCUGAUCCGUCGUGUUGGAUUUAGAGGUCCCCCAGGAGUGCAAUAUGUCAAUUUGUACUACGCAUAUACCUUCGACAGAUGCAUGGAAGGUGCUAUGCUUGCUCCAAAGAAGACCAACCUCAUUACAUUUGCAAUCGAUUCUUUAAAGUCAGACUCAGCCAAGAUGCAACUCUAUGGGCUUAAGAUGCUACACAGCUUUCUGAAAAAGGAGCCCCUAAAGACUCAAGCCAUAUCAGAACUCACCACUUACACAAAGACAGUGACCUGCUUGAUCAACAUGUUGGGCUGGACAAGUGAAGUGGAUAAGGAUAUUAGAUCAUUUGCCGCCAAGGUCACGGCCGAGCUCGCUGAUUACCUUCGAGUUAUCCCUAUCCCUGGGGCGAUGAAGCUCAUAGUCUCACUUUUGGACAUUGUUCAUGGAGAGAAUAUAAAGAAUCCUCUUUUGGACAUUCGUAGCUUUGAGCCACAACAAGAUAAUGUGAUUCUGCAAGUUGGCAGGAACAAGCAGACCUCCCCAGUGCUUAAAUGGUUGAAACAGAUGGCACUAUACUGUUUGAUUCCGAGAGAGGAGCCAGCUAACAUGGAUGAACAAAACAUCCAUAUACUCAGAUGCUGGAGACAGCUUACAAAACGUUGGUCUGUUCCAGAGGAGGAGCCAUCAAAGGAGGAGCCAUCGACAGAUCAAGAUAUCCUCCCUUUAUUGGGCAUGUUAAUUCUUAACAAGCUUGCUAGCUUUGAUCUUGAGAAUUGUAUAGAAAUCAGCAGAGCAACUGGCCUCAUCUCAAAGAUCAUAGAGUUCACAAGCAGCAGAACUGAAAUGACAAAUAUUAACGAGGCACAACAGACACUGCUGAAAGGUUCAUCACUUGAGCUGCUGAGAAGAUUUUCAAGUACCAAAGGGGAAUUUGGUGUAAUUUUGCGUCAGAAGAUUUCAGAAAACCUCUUCCUUUUGAACCAUCUUGCAGAUAUCUUGGAUGACAGUGGGAGUAGCCAUGAACUGAGGGAGCUCACAUCAGAACUCCUUAGAAACCUGGCCAUGGAGGGUAAUAUAAAGGACGAGAUUGGACACAUCCGAGUGAUCAUUAGCAGGUUGAUGCAUGCAUUUCUCAGCCAAGAUGCACUCUCAAGUACGGAUUCUGAUCAGCGGCUACGAAUGAAAUCAGGGCAAGCACUGGCAGUACUGGCAAUGGAGAGUGCCAAUAACUGUUUGGUUAUGUUAGCAGAACCAGGGUAUGUAUUCAUAAAGGAACUCACAGUUAUGAUCCAUGGUGGCAGAUACAGGUACAUAGCUUCAAGCCUGUUGCGGAAUAUGUGUGUGCAUGCUCGAUCUGGGCUUCGCAACUCUGACCUGAACGAAAUCUCCUACAUUUUGAGAGAGGUGCUGAAAGGAAUAACGGAUGCAGAAGGGACAGAACUGGAGGUCCUUAUUGGUCUUAGUUCACAAAUAUGCAAUGUCAUUCCAGAAGACUUUGCGCAAGAGCUUGAACAUGGUCAGAUUAAGGAAGGAUUUAUAAAGAGGCUUGUCAAUGCACUUAACUCAAAUAUGAUACCCACUGCUCAUUGUCCUGGUAUCAGGAGGGUGAUAGUUGAACAUGCCAUAUACAUGAUGGAAUUCAAUCCGGCCUACGCUAGCUAUUUCAACAACUGUCAGAUGAUGGAAGCACUGCUAACGGUAGAGCGUAAACCUCAAGGGCUGAAAACUACAGGUUCUUAUUGGGUGAUGCAGGACUCAUGAAGCACAGCAUGCCUCUAUCCGCUCUUGUGGCUAGAGCAAAAGAGCUGA